AUGGGAGAUGCACUUGAAGAUGCCCAGCUGUUAGCAGGACACAUGCGUAUGGAGCUCGUCGGGAGAAAAUACGGUGUGUAUGGUGCAGGUCAUCUAGAGCAACCGCAACUGUCCAGUACCAAACAGCUGUCAAAAACAGCCCGCCUGGAAUGCGUGGUAUCCGGUGUCACAAUUUCUACAACAUCUGUGUAUUGGUAUCGAGAAAGGCCCGGGCAAGCCGUGCAUCUCCUGCUGUACAUUUCGUCUGACAACACCGUCAACGUGGAAUCGGGCAUUACGCCGGGCAAGUUUGAGGCAGACAAGACACCUGACACUUCGACGUCUACCCUUACCAUUCACAGUGUAAACGAACAAGACGCGGCCACCUACUCCUGUGCACUCUGGGACGCGCACAGUAGCAGACCUUAG
This is a non-coding RNA of Camelus dromedarius (Arabian camel), 408 nucleotides long. Lineage: Eukaryota; Metazoa; Chordata; Mammalia; Artiodactyla; Camelidae. The record is from the annotation of a RefSeq genome assembly.